CCCAGCCCAGAGAGCGCACAGCACGUUUCUUACAAACCUUGGCUUCUGGGUCACUGUUGAUACUACAAGAAUCGUCAUCAUCAGCAUGUGGAGCAUUUCU
This is a non-coding RNA of Ceratotherium simum simum (southern white rhinoceros), 100 nucleotides long. The record is from RefSeq and is a predicted model, not a curated record. Lineage: Eukaryota; Metazoa; Chordata; Mammalia; Perissodactyla; Rhinocerotidae.